GAGUUUGAUCAUGGCUCAGAUUGAACGCUGGCGGCAUGCCUUACACAUGCAAGUCGAACGGCAGCACGGGAGCUUGCUCCUGGUGGCGAGUGGCGAACGGGUGAGUAAUGCAUCGGAACGUACCCUGGAGUGGGGGAUAACGUAGCGAAAGUUACGCUAAUACCGCAUAUUCUGUGAGCAGGAAAGCGGGGGACCUUCGGGCCUCGCGCUCUUGGAGCGGCCGAUGUCGGAUUAGCUAGUUGGUGAGGUAAAGGCUCACCAAGGCGACGAUCCGUAGCAGGUCUGAGAGGAUGAUCUGCCACACUGGAACUGAGACACGGUCCAGACUCCUACGGGAGGCAGCAGUGGGGAAUUUUGGACAAUGGGGGCAACCCUGAUCCAGCCAUGCCGCGUGAGUGAAGAAGGCCUCGG
This 411-nucleotide ribosomal RNA is filed under the name bacterium enrichment culture clone ALO1_GLFRUDD03GNMBP. Its description in RNAcentral is "bacterial SSU rRNA". It matches the Rfam family "Bacterial small subunit ribosomal RNA", at positions 9 to 420 of the family's 1533-position model. The record is from RNAcentral.